RNAcentral lists this ribosomal RNA (271 nucleotides) under uncultured archaeon. Its description in RNAcentral is "partial 16S ribosomal RNA". It matches the Rfam family "Archaeal small subunit ribosomal RNA", at positions 477 to 747 of the family's 1478-position model. The record is from RNAcentral.
CAGCGCCACGAGUGGGAACCACAAUUAUUGGGCCUAAAGCGUUCGUAGCCGGUUGUAUAAAUCUUUUGUGAAAUCGUCAGGCUUAACCUGCCGGAUGGCAGAAGAAACUGUACAACUAGGGACCGGAAGGAGUUAGGAGUAUUCCAGGGGGAGCGGUAAAAUGUUAUAAUCCCUGAAAGACUACCUGUGGCGAAGGCGCCUAACUAGUACGGGUCCGACGGUGAGGAACGAAAGCUAGGGGAGCGAUCCGGAUUAGAUACCCGAGUAGUCC